This 1399-nucleotide ribosomal RNA is filed under the name uncultured bacterium. RNAcentral describes it as "bacterial SSU rRNA". It matches the Rfam family "Bacterial small subunit ribosomal RNA". The record is from RNAcentral.
GAAUUCGCCCUUAGAGUUUGAUCCUGGCUCAGGAUGAACGCUGGCGGCGUGCUUAACACAUGCAAGUCGAACGAAACACCUUAUUUAAUUUUCUUCGGAACUGAAGAUUUGGUGAUUGAGUGGCGGACGGGUGAGUAACGCGUGGGUAACCUACCCUGUACAGGGGGAUAACAGUCAGAAAUGACUGCUAAUACCGCAUAAGACCACAGCAUCGCAUGGUGCAGGGGUAAAAACUCCGGUGGUACAGGAUGGACCCGCGUCUGAUUAGCUGGUUGGUGAGGUAACGGCUCACCAAGGCGACGAUCAGUAGCCGGCUUGAGAGAGUGAACGGCCACAUUGGGACUGAGACACGGCCCAAACUCCUACGGGAGGCAGCAGUGGGGAAUAUUGCACAAUGGGGGAAACCCUGAUGCAGCGACGCCGCGUGAGUGAAGAAGUAUCUCGGUAUGUAAAGCUCUAUCAGCAGGGAAGAAAAUGACGGUACCUGACUAAGAAGCCCCGGCUAACUACGUGCCAGCAGCCGCGGUAAUACGUAGGGGGCAAGCGUUAUCCGGAUUCAUUGGGCGUAAAGCGCGCGUAGGCGGCCCGGCAGGCCGGGGGUCGAAGCGGGGGGCUCAACCCCCCGAAGCCCCCGGAACCUCCGCGGCUUGGGUCCGGUAGGGGAGGGUGGAACACCCGGUGUAGCGGUGGAAUGCGCAGAUAUCGGGUGGAACACCGGUGGCGAAGGCGGCCCUCUGGGCCGAGACCGACGCUGAGGCGCGAAAGCUGGGGGAGCGAACAGGAUUAGAUACCCUGGUAGUCCCAGCCGUAAACGAUGGACGCUAGGUGUGGGGGGACGAUCCCCCCGUGCCGCAGCCAACGCAUUAAGCGUCCCGCCUGGCGAGUACGGCCGCAAGGCUAAAACUCAAAGGAAUUGACGGGGGCCCGCACAAGCAGCGGAGCAUGUGGCUUAAUUCGAAGCAACGCGAAGAACCUUACCAGGGCUUGACAUAUGGGUGAAGCGGGGGAGACCCCGUGGCCGAGAGGAGCCCAUACAGGUGGUGCAUGGCUGUCGUCAGCUCGUGUCGUGAGAUGUUGGGUUAAGUCCCGCAACGAGCGCAACCCCCGCCGCGUGUUGCCAUCGGGUGAUGCCGGGAACCCACGCGGGACCGCCGCCGUCAAGGCGGAGGAGGGCGGGGACGACGUCAAGUCAUCAUGCCCCUUAUGCCCUGGGCUGCACACGUGCUACAAUGGCCGGUACAGAGGGAUGCCACCCCGCGAGGGGGAGCGGAUCCCGGAAAGCCGGCCCCAGUUCGGAUUGGGGGCUGCAACCCGCCCCCAUGAAGUCGGAGUUGCUAGUAAUCGCGGAUCAGCAUGCCGCGGUGAAUGCGUUCCCGGGCCUUGUACACACCGCCCGUCA